GCUUGGUGGUGAUGGCCAUCACCUGCUGCCUCCUGGCAACUGCCCAGGCCACGCCUCACGGCAGUGGCAGCGAUCAGUCAGUCAGUCACUCAGUUGGUCAGUCUGUUGGUCAGUCGGUCUGUCAGUCAGUCUGUUGGUCAGUCGGUCUGUCAGUCAGUCUGUCAGUUGGUCGGUUGGUCUGUUGGUCAGUCUGUCAGUUGGAUGAUCGGUCUGUGACCUGGUCACUCAGUCUCUUGGUCGGUUGGUAGCCCUCAGCCAGUCGGUCCGUCAGUCCGGCCGGCUGCUCAGCGCUCUGUCUGUCGGUUGGUCUGUCUGUCGGUCAGUCAGUCCGUCGGUCUGGCCGGCCGCUCAGCGCUCUGUCGGUCUGUCUGUCGGUUGGUCGCUCUGUCUGUUGGUCGGUCUGUCUGUCGGUCGGUGCCUCAGUCGGUCGGUCCGUCAGUCGGUCGGUCAGUCCGUCAGUCGGUCGGUCGGUCCGGCCGCUCUGCGCUUUGUCUGUCGGUCGGUCGGUCCGUCGGUCGGUCGGUCGGUCGGUCCAGCCGCUCCGCGCUCUGUCUGUUGGUCGGUCCGUCGGUCGGUCGGUUGGUUGGUCGGUCGGUUGGUCGGUCAGUCGGUCCGUCGGUCGGUCCAUCGGUCGGUCUGUCUGUCGGUCGGUGCCUCAGUUGGUCGGUCGGUCCGUCGGUCCGGCCGGUCGCUCAGCGCUCUCUCUGUCUGUCUGUCGGUCGGUCGGUCGGUCCGGCCGCUCCGCGCUCUGUCUGUCGGUCCGUCGGUCGGUCGGUCGGUCCGGCCGCCCCGCGCUCUGUCUGUCUGUCGGUCGGCCGGUCCGUCGGUCGCUCUGUCGGUCGGUCGGUCGGUCCGUCGGUCGGUCCGUCGGUCCGGCCGCCCCGCGCUCUGUCUGUCGGUCGGUCCGUCGGUCGCUCUGUCUGUCGGUCGGUCCGUCGGUCGGUCCGUCGGUCGCUCUGUCUGUCGCUCUGUCUGUCGGUCGGUCGGUCCGUCGGUCCGGCCGCCCCGCGCUCUGUGGCGGGCGGGGCCCGCCGCGGCCGGUGCGCGGGGCGGCGCUGACAUCACGUCGUUA
This 1072-nucleotide long non-coding RNA is filed under the name Lonchura striata (white-rumped munia). Its description in RNAcentral is "domestica (Bengalese finch) lncRNA (ENSLSDG00000004229.1)". Lineage: Eukaryota; Metazoa; Chordata; Aves; Passeriformes; Estrildidae. The record is from RNAcentral.